CACGAUAGUCUAAAUAUAGAAAUCAUCGGUAAAUAAAUAAAGCUGAAAAAUAACAACUGAAUAUGAAAACAAUACACUCAGUCCAUACUCUGUUGCGGCGCGCACCCCGCUCCUUAACAGAUAAUACCAAGAACUCACAAAAACAACGACCACAACUCAAGUGCGAGGGGAGUAACAAUAAUUACAAGAAAUCCCGGCAAGGGAAUAUAAUUAACAAUUUAAUUAUCUCGACAAGGGAGAAUACAAUAAAUACUUACGUCCAGGCAAUGGAAUAAUCAGUACACGUUACACUUUUAAUCACCUAUUUCUCGAGUAACAAUUUCUAGUCCGAGCCAAUGAUCCAAAUGACAUACCAAUCACAAACCUUCCUUAACUAUUCACUUUAUAUUAUACUUAUCAACCCAAGCUAGAAAGAUGAAUCAUUAAAUCCGAAUACAACAUAUAUAAGAUUCACGGUCAUGCUAGACUCAAAUGCAUAGAUAACCGUCACCAUGCCUAUACACUGUGCUCCAAAUUAGCAAGUAGCAAAUAAUACCCUAAUCCUAAUCCCUCAAGCCAAAGUUAGAACAAAC
Molecule: long non-coding RNA, 572 nt
Filed under: Nicotiana benthamiana
Lineage: Eukaryota; Viridiplantae; Streptophyta; Magnoliopsida; Solanales; Solanaceae
Description: long non-coding RNA (NBEN_LNC028686)
Source: RNAcentral